AGUGAACGCUGGCGGUAGGCCUAACACAGGCAAGUCGAACGGCAGCACAGUAAGAUCUUGCUCGUACGGGCGGCGAGUGGCGGACGGGUGAGGAAUACAUCGGAAUCUACUUUUUCGGGGGUGAUAACGGAGGGAAACUUACGCUAAUACCGCAUACGACCUACGGGUGAAAGCAGAGGAUCUGCGGACCUUGCGCGAACGAAGGAGCCGAUGGCGGAUUAGCUAGUUGGCGGGGUAAAGGCCCACCAAGGCGACGUUCCGUAGCUGGGCUGAGAGGAUGAUCAGCCACACUGGAACUGAAGCACGGUCCAGCCUCCUACGGGAGUCACCAGUGGGGCAUAUUGGCCAAUGGGCGCAAGCCUGAUCCAGCCCUACCGCGCAGGUGAAGCAGGCCUUCGGGUUGUAAAGCCCCUUUCUUGGGAAAGAACCCCAGCAGGUUAAUCCCCCGCUGUUCUGCCCGGACCCAAAGAAUACGUACCCGCCUGCUUCGUG
RNAcentral lists this ribosomal RNA (492 nucleotides) under uncultured bacterium. RNAcentral describes it as "partial 16S ribosomal RNA". It matches the Rfam family "Bacterial small subunit ribosomal RNA", at positions 29 to 507 of the family's 1533-position model. The record is from RNAcentral.